RNAcentral lists this ribosomal RNA (490 nucleotides) under uncultured bacterium. RNAcentral describes it as "partial 16S ribosomal RNA". It matches the Rfam family "Bacterial small subunit ribosomal RNA", at positions 30 to 507 of the family's 1533-position model. The record is from RNAcentral.
AUUGAACGCUGGCGGCAUGCUUUACACAUGCAAGUCGGACGGCAGCACAGAGAAGCUUGCUUCUUGGGUGGCGAGUGGCGAACGGGUGAGUAACAUAUCGGAACGUACCGAGCAGUGGGGGAUAACUAAUCGAAAGAUUAGCUAAUACCGCAGAUCUUCUGAGGAAGAAAGCAGGGGACCAUUUGGCCUUGCGCUGUGUGAGCGGCCGAGAUCUGAUUAGCUAGUUGGUGGGGUAAAGGCCUACCAAGGCGACGAUCAGUAGCGGGUCGGAGAGGAUGAGAGGCCACAUUGGGACUGGGACACGGACAAGGCGCCUACGGGAGGCAGCAGUGGGGAACUUUGGGCAAUAGGCGCGAGCAUGAUACAAUCAUGCGGCGUCUCAUGCAAAGGCGUUCGGGUUGUAAAGAACUUUUGUCAGGGAUGAACCGGGUGGGGUUAUUACCCCUGUUGAGUGACGGUACCUGGAGAAUAAGCACCGGCUAACUACGUG